Cyprinus carpio carpio is the source of this 481-nucleotide long non-coding RNA. The record is from Ensembl. Lineage: Eukaryota; Metazoa; Chordata; Actinopteri; Cypriniformes; Cyprinidae.
CACACACUCACACACACCCAACACACGUGUGCACACACACACACGCGGUGAUGAAUGUGUAAUCACACUGAUUAAGUUGUUAUUAGAGGGCAGGAGAUCCUCUGUAGGAAAUGGGGGUGAGACACACAGAUGAUUAUUUACAUCCCUCUAUUCUAACCACAGCUGGAAUAGAGAGGGGGAGGCAGAGAAAUAUGAAUGUACGGCUUGGUGGGGUCUAGUUCAUUUCUCUCCCUCUCUGGUGUCUUUUUUACUCAUACUUGUUCUUACCAGAAGGUGGUGCUGCUGCAUCUUCACUAUGAAACUUGAAAAGCUUCAUACUGCUUCCCGAGGAAGAGAGCUGUGUAACAGAACACAUGGAAGAAAAUCAAAACUCCCUCAGAGAAAAGGGCUGGUUAAAUCAGCAGCUAUAAUUCAUGGACAGAAUCUUCACCUUUUAUUCAGUUUAAAUUCUCAGAGGUUUUGUUGUUAUUAGAUUGAAGUG